This 28-nucleotide non-coding RNA is filed under the name Mus musculus (house mouse). The record is from RNAcentral. Lineage: Eukaryota; Metazoa; Chordata; Mammalia; Rodentia; Muridae.
UGCCAAGUGCUAGUUAGAGAUUGAGGAC